GACGAACGCUGGCGGUGUGCUUAACACAUGCCAGUCGAACGGAAAGGCCCUGCUUUUGUGGGGUGCUCGAGUGGCGAACGGGUGAGUAACACGUGAGUAACCUGCCCUUGACUUUGGGAUAACUUCAGGAAACUGGGGCUAAUACCGGAUAGGAGCUCCUGCUGCAUGGUGGGGGUUGGAAAGUUUCGGCGGUUGGGGAUGGACUCGCGGCUUAUCAGCUUGUUGGUGGGGUAGUGGCUUACCAAGGCUUUGACGGGUAGCCGGCCUGAGAGGGUGACCGGCCACAUUGGGACUGAGAUACGGCCCAGACUCCUACGGGAGGCAGCAGUGGAGAAUAUUGCACAAUGGGCGGAAGCCUGAUGCAGCAACGCCGCGUGCGGGAUGACGGCCUUCGGGUUGUAAACCGCUUUCGCCUGUGACGAAGCGUGAGUGACGGUAAUGGGUAAAGAAGCACCGGCUAACUACGUG
This 468-nucleotide ribosomal RNA is filed under the name uncultured bacterium. Its description in RNAcentral is "partial 16S ribosomal RNA". It matches the Rfam family "Bacterial small subunit ribosomal RNA", at positions 28 to 507 of the family's 1533-position model. The record is from RNAcentral.